GCCAAGGUCGCGGGUUCGAUCCCCGUACGGGCCACAGGCUUUUCUAAUGUUUAUUUCACAGUAACAAUUAUGUUUCACAGUAGCAACUGUGGGCAGUGAUACAGAAAGUCAUGAGAGAACACGAAAGUAAAUGUAUUUGUACCCAGUAAUCUUGAUGGGACGUAGUCCGCUGAAUCGUACGGUUGCGUUUGCAGUUUAGUGUUCCUGCAAGAGCAGAUGACGAAGAGAGCUAAGAUUCGAGAAAGAAAUUGAAAUCCGGGAGGAACGUGAAAAACAGAGGCGAAAACACGGAAAUAAGGACCUGGGCUUUUCAUUCCUUUACGAUUUCCAAAGCGUACAAAUCUUUCUCUGUCGUGACUAACUCCUGAUAUGGGCUUUCCUAACUGUGCAUCUGCUUACUUCCCGCAGACCUGUCCUUGGCUUGUGCAGGGUAAGUAAAGCCUCUCAAAAACUCCCAUUUUUCAUUUCUAUUUCCUCUCUUUUAGCUUCCCUCACUCAACUCUAGAGAUACUGGACUUAAGGAAAUGUCCCCAUAGAACGCUGAGCCUUUCACCUCCUCUUUGCUCGUCUCACGGCUUUGUUAGACACGAAACCAUCUUCUGGAAAAUGUCUUCCCUGACACCUCUCCUACUUUUCUGAGUUUGGGUUGCUUUCCUCCUAGCACUCACGGAGAUCCAGGCACAAAAUUGCCUUGUAUUCAAGUUCCAAGUACCAACCAGCCUUCCACGUGUUGUUGUUUCAAAGAUAACUCUAUUUGCAAAGCCUUUACGCUACUGUUCAGAGAUUUCCGGAGUGUGUGCAACUUCAGUGAGGACUGGAAAGUGGGCCAUUGCGCAGUUCAGCUCUCAGGCUCUUUGUAGGUCUUUUACCAGUGAAGCAUUCAAGAUGGCUGGUACUUCCUCGUUUUCUUCGACAGGUGACUAAUGAAGCCGUUCUCCACGUUGUACUGUAUGGACAUGCGGCCCCAAGUGACAACAUCGAUCCCACUACCUCUCACAUGCUAAGCGAGUACUCUACCACUUGAGCUCAUUCGUCACCUACCGCAAAACUUUCUGCCCUUUCCUUUAUUCAGGAGUAGAUGUGCGCGAUUACCACCAUUUCUUGCGUCUCGGAACAAAGGAAAUGUCUGGAUUAUUAAUGGGGAACCAGGACUCGACCUAAGGCGAGUCUACUCAAAAAUGGCCAAGGGCAAGGGCAUGAUGGCUAUUCCUCUGCGAGGGAGAGGGGAAAACGUAACCAGGAGAAAGUGGACACUGGAAAAGUCUGGUGCUGUAAGAUUUCACGUUCCAGAUUUUCAGGGAGAGAAGCGAGCACGUCCCAGCUGGGGAGCGCCCGCCCAGAGCGGCCUGCUAAUUUGGCACAGCUAUCCCAGGAUGACGAUCUUUCUUUUAAAAGAGGCGGGAUAAUCACUUGUUCCUUGCAGCUCUGGACUCCCGGGAAGAAGCGGCCACUCCCGGUCAGAUUCUGGGAGACCAGAGAAACCUGUUGUUUCCGUUGAGUUUCAAAUAGAGGACCUUCCAUGUGUUAGGCCAGCGUGGUAACUACUACACCAUAGAAACCCUUUGCAUCACAGGCUUUUUAUAUUUUGAGAUG
Molecule: long non-coding RNA, 1593 nt
Organism: Homo sapiens (human)
Lineage: Eukaryota; Metazoa; Chordata; Mammalia; Primates; Hominidae
Exons: 3
Source: RefSeq, a predicted model, not a curated record